This 777-nucleotide ribosomal RNA is filed under the name uncultured Neocallimastigales. Its description in RNAcentral is "partial large subunit ribosomal RNA". It matches the Rfam family "Eukaryotic large subunit ribosomal RNA", at positions 24 to 616 of the family's 3401-position model. The record is from RNAcentral. Lineage: Eukaryota; Fungi; Neocallimastigomycota; Neocallimastigomycetes; Neocallimastigales.
UACGACUACAUAUCAGGCAUAUCAAUAAGCGGAGGAAAAGAAACUAACAAGGAUUCCCUUAGUAACGGCGAGUGAAGCGGGAAGAGCUCAAAUUUGAAAUCUUCAAGGUUUUACCUUGACGAAUUGUAGUUUAAAGAAGUGUUUUCUGUUGAAGUUUUGGUAAAAGUUCUUUGGAAUAGGACAUCAUAGAGGGUGAGAAUCCCGUAUUUGACCAUUAUUUUCAGCUGUGUGAUACACUUUCAAAGAGUCGGAUUGUUUGGGAAUGCAGUCCAAAAUGGGUGGUAAAUUUCAUCUAAAGCUAAAUAUUGGCGAGAGACCGAUAGCGAACAAGUACCGUGAGGGAAAGAUGAAAAGAACUUUGAAAAGAGAGUUAAACAGUACGUGAAAUUGUCAAAAGGGAAGCGUUUGACACCAGUGUUGUUUUCUCGAAAAUCAAUUAAAAAGAGUUGGAUUUUGUGUUGUAUUGACCUUAACAGCUUGCUUCACUCUUUUCCAUGCUUUUUUUAAGUGCACUUUUCGUUUAACAAGUCAACAUCAGUUUCUUUUGUUGUAAAAGGGUCAUUGGAAGGUGGCUUUCUCUUCGGAGAAAGUGUUUAUAGCCUUUGAUCUCUGCAAUCGGAGAGACUGAGGUCUGCAGCGUAGAUCCUUCGGGGUUAGAUACAUUUGUGCUAAGCUACAGCUUUUCAUAGACAACUUGUUGACUAUGUUUAGUCCUUGUGACUUACCCGCUUAUGCUAUUUUACCUACGCUUAGGAUGUUGAGCGCAUGUCUCUCUCU